This is a long non-coding RNA of Rosa rugosa (rugosa rose), 777 nucleotides long. RefSeq lists it as uncharacterized. The transcript has 3 exons. The record is from RefSeq and is a predicted model, not a curated record. Lineage: Eukaryota; Viridiplantae; Streptophyta; Magnoliopsida; Rosales; Rosaceae.
UCCUGCGACUCCCGCCGCUACCGCCUUAGCCACUUAACCAACCGGCCAAGCACUCGAUCUUGAGGUUGUCGACAGUUGCUUGAUCUAAGAUCACUAAGAUCCAUUUCUCCAGCUAAGAUAACCCACCGUCUUUUGGCACCUCUUCAAUGAGUCACAAUCUCUCUCCAGCGAAGCCAUGUUGCAAAGCAUGUUCCUAGGUUUUUGACAAAGAAGUUUUCCGCCGAGGUCUAGAAGAAUUCGGAGGCGGCUCAGCCUGGUAGUCUAAGCAAGCCACCGGAAAAGUCAGGCAGUUUGGGAGGACGAGGCAUUUGAAUUUUGGUCAAGAGGAUGGGGCCGCUUGUAUCCUUGGGGCGACUCAUCUACGAGAUUACUUGAAGAGGUGCAUAAUAGCUACUUCUUGGUCAGCUUGGUAGAUAAUGACUACAUCCAUGGUGACCUUUUGCACUAUUUUUGCUGAUUUCUAGAGGGGCUUGUUGUCUCUUGCAUCCCAUCAACCAUUAGGCUGGUGCUUUCCUUGCAAGGUUUGGUUUCAUUUAUUGUCAGUGGGAUGUGUAAUAAUAACUCAUUGGGAUUUUGAUACCUCCCUGUGGCCUUGCCUCACUGUGCGAAUUGUGUCUGCAUUCUCUGCUUUAAAACAAAGUUCGUCAACGUUCCAGCUUCCUAAUUGGUUCUUUAUAAAUUUGCUUAUACCAAGUUGUGGAAUUCACAUUUUAUUGAAAUAUACUAGAAAUUCAGUUUUAAAAUUUGUGUUGUUGUUGAAUGGAUAUGUCGAUAUGG